RNAcentral lists this small RNA (692 nucleotides) under Pan troglodytes (chimpanzee). Its description in RNAcentral is "processed transcript". The record is from RNAcentral. Lineage: Eukaryota; Metazoa; Chordata; Mammalia; Primates; Hominidae.
AUCCUGAUGAAUGAAUUGGUAACACUUUAGAAAAGUAAAGGCAGGAGACAGAAAACCGGGCUCUGAUUCUUAAGAUUCGGAUUCUACAGGAAGAGAAUUUCAAGAACAUCAUGGAUAUAGACAGACUGGAAAAGAAGAUUGAAGACUUGUCUAAAACUGAGACAGAGCACCAAAUGCAGUUACACACAUAUGAGAACACUUUGCUUAAUAAAGAUACAAGUUUGCAGAAGAAAGGCUUAUAUAUAGAAGAACUUAAAUCAACCAUCAUAGAAUAUGGAAGCAUUAUAGAGAAUUUACGAGGGGAAAAAAAUAAACUGGCUCAUGAGUUACAGCUCUUGCAACAGGAACUCAUCACAAAUGGGAUCCAGUUGAAUGUUAAUGGAGAGUGUAACAGUAUCAUCUCUGAAGGAGAAAAGUCUUUACAUUAUGAACUCACUCUUGCUCAGUCUGCAGAGAACACUGAAACAGAGAGGCAGCACAAUGUAAUCAACUUGUCAUCUCUGGAUGCCAUGAUGGAUCAGGAAAUGCUGCUAUUACUAAGAGAGCCUGCGCAGAAGGCAGUGGAAUUCACAGCCACGCUUCAGAAGCUGCACGAAGAAAUUUCUAAAAUUGCAACCCUCAUUGAAAACUCUCGAUGGUGGGUAACUAAUCCAGAAAUUACUGUGAAAGAAAAGUGGGAGGAGCAGCUUACU